This 280-nucleotide unclassified non-coding RNA is filed under the name uncultured fungus. RNAcentral describes it as "partial contains 18S rRNA, ITS1, 5.8S rRNA, ITS2 and 28S rRNA". Lineage: Eukaryota; Fungi. The record is from RNAcentral.
AAGGAUCAUUAUCGAAUAAACUUGAGCAGGCUGUUGCUGGUCCCCCAAGGACAUGUGCACGCUUGUCAUCUUUAUCAUUUCUCCAACUGUGCACAUAUUGUAGACCCUGGAGGUUUUGCUUUUCGUCUUUGGAUGAGUUUUGGGACUGCUGUGCCUCAAAAUCGAGGUCGGCUUUCCCUUUGCAUCCUCCAGGUCUAUGUUGACAACCUCUCGAACGUGUUUAGAAUGUUGAAUAAAAUAUAAAGUUAUACAACUUUCAGCAACGGAUCUCUUGGCUCUC